RNAcentral lists this long non-coding RNA (1199 nucleotides) under Sus scrofa (pig). RNAcentral describes it as "lncRNA (ENSSSCG00070019116.1)". The record is from RNAcentral. Lineage: Eukaryota; Metazoa; Chordata; Mammalia; Artiodactyla; Suidae.
AUGAAGAAAUGCACGAGCCUGGAGGAGAGCCUGAGCAUGACGCAGUGGAGCAGAGCAUCGCCACCUGUCCUACGCGGAACCUCACCGUGGACGGGCGCUUCGGCGCGUGGUCUCCGUGGACACCCUGCUCGCACACGGAUGGCAGCGCCGUGGGCUCCUGCCUCUGCCGCACCCGCUCCUGUGACAGCCCGGCCCCCCAGUGUGGCGGCUGGCCGUGCGAGGGCCCCCGCGUGGAGAUCGCCAACUGUUCCAGGUGCGCCAGAGGUCCUGCAGCAACCCCACGCCCCGGCACGGGGGCCGGGUGUGUGUGGGACAGAACCGCGAGGAAAGGUAGGCACCCUCUCUGCUCCUGCAUCGCUAUCCUCAUGCUUACUGUCAUUCCAGCGUGGUCGGUCUCCCGGCGGUUUUCGUUUUGGAUCUUACUCAGCUUAUAGUGGCAUCCAGUUCUGUUGGGCUCAGUGGCCCUCCUCCUUGCCUGACAUCCUUUCAUUUUGACCAAAGCUUGAGGGUGACAGCAUCACGGGGGGCCAUAGAGGAGCCUGCAGAGUACACUCAGCGGGGCCGUUCCCUGGGGAUUGGAGACCCAGAAGCAGGGGCAGUGCUGGGCUGGGCUCCCUGGAGACUAGGCAGGCGGGUCUGCUAGGUAGUGCUUGUUCUUGUUAGAAUUCAACUAGGCUGGUCUCAAAUCUACAAUUGCAAAUAGGACCUGGGCUGAUCCUGGGUUCAGAUGGAUCAGAUGAGGUAAGUUUUCCAUCACUAAGCAACUGGCGUAUGAGUGAGAACAUAGUAUUUUUCUUAUAUUUAUGACUACUAAUGCCUACAUGCUUAUCUAUUAACAGCUACCCUCUGGGAAGCUGCAGGACAUCCCAGAGGGAGGGAUCCUUUUCUAUGUGUAUUUUAAGCCUUCAGCGUGUCAUGGGGGUAUGUUAUUUCAGUCUCACGUUUGACAGUUUGUUGCCUUUUAUAGACCCAGACAUUCGAUUUGGGCCUCAUAAAAUCUGCAGUUGUAAUACUUGACUCUUUCUUGCAUAUUUAAAGUACAUUCCUGUUUAUGGCUAUUGAGAGAAAGUCCAUUUAGGUGAAUUUCACAUCACUUUCAAGAUUCUUAUUCUCCAUACUCACAUACAUUUACCCUAUUGAUGCACAAGCAAAGUGGCUUUUAAUGCCUUUUAAAUAAAAUGUAACAAGGCUUGUAUCCA